Molecule: ribosomal RNA, 144 nt
Filed under: Ligilactobacillus murinus
Lineage: Bacteria; Bacillati; Bacillota; Bacilli; Lactobacillales; Lactobacillaceae
Description: partial 23S ribosomal RNA
Rfam family: Bacterial large subunit ribosomal RNA
Source: RNAcentral
GGUUAAGUUAUUAAGGGCGCAUGGUGGAUGCCUUGGCACUAGGAGCCGAUGAAGGACGUGACUAACUGCGAUAAGCUUCGGGGAGUUGUAAGUAAACUGUGAUCCGGAGAUUUCCGAAUGGGGAAACCCAGCAGGAGUAAAGAC